CAAGUCUGUCCUCACAGGGAUGUCUUUUAUUAUGGGUUGUUGGAAGGAGUUUUGCAGAGAAACUGGAGCAGCAGAUAGAGCUCUCCAGGCACUACUGAAAUAAUAAUGAAGUAGUUUCACCAAGGUUGGACGAGAGAGCGUUUUCGGCUGCGUCUGAAUUCUGCUUGUCCCUGAAAAUUGCUUAGGUAAUAAGAUAGCUGCUUUAAAAUUGCUGGGGGUAUCCCACAGGAUUCUGCUUUGACUCUGAUUUCCAUUUGCAGCACAUGUUCUGCCAUUUGGCCAGCACCAUCCACCCGUGUGAGCUAAUUUAGGGUUGCUAAACAGAUGACAGAGAACAUACAUCUUUUAUAUUUGAUCUCUGCACUGGUUGGAGCUGGUGCUGUGUGCCUCUGUGAGGAACAACAGGGUCAUCAACCCAAGGAGCUCACCUGUCAGAGGGGACAGCAUCUUCCAGCUCUAGGGUCAUCCCUGCACACCAGCAGGCUCAGGAGCUGCCUGCAGCUGGUGUGGGCCUGGUUGGGCUCAGCUCCCGUCUGGGUUGGUGGCUGCUCUGCACCUGUGCUGAGCUCAGCGUCUAGCCAGCCCUGUGCUUCACUUUCUGCCUUCCUUUGUAUACAUCAGAGUGUUGACUUGGUGACUGUCUUCAUGUUGGGGGACUUUUCUGGGCCUCUAUCCACUUCUUCAGUACUCAAACUUUGGCUAUUGCUAUAUUCUGCUCUCAGGGCAAGUCCCCAUUCCCAACACUGUGUGCCCUCUCUGUGCCCUAGUCUGCCAGCAAUGCUGCUGCAUUUUCUGCCCUUAGUCCCUUCAGUCUGCCUAGCCUCUCCCAGAGGUACAGCAGAAACAGCCUGGGGACCACAGUCUGCAAGGAGCACACUCAGAGCAUCCCAGCUUUACCUGCUGUAA
RNAcentral lists this long non-coding RNA (906 nucleotides) under Zonotrichia albicollis (white-throated sparrow). RNAcentral's name for it is "lncRNA (ENSZALG00000007201.1)". The record is from RNAcentral. Lineage: Eukaryota; Metazoa; Chordata; Aves; Passeriformes; Passerellidae.